UGAACAGAUGGGAAACAAGUCACCAACACCUUAGAGGCUGCACACGACCAGGAAUAGCUAAGAAACUGCCAGCAAUGGGACGCAGACGACCUACAACCGGGGAAUCCGCGGGAACCAGUCUGACUUUGCCCAACUAAGCGUCCCCUCCAGGCCGGUUUCCUCAAUACCUCCCACUAAAGGGACAAACUGCAAUGGGAUGAAUCCAGGAGACAAGAGACUUCCGCGAUUCCUUAAGUUAGAUACUUAAAGGGAAACGCAACGGACUUGGACUGGCCAAAAUGAGUAAGAAAAACAAAGCCAGAGAGUCCUAUUUCCCUGUUCUGAAAAACGACAGCCAUCAAGACAGCGCGGCCCGACCAGACACAGGGACCGACACAGGGACCCGCGUAACAGAGAACCGAAACAAACCCUCCACUCAGGACCCUCGAUUCUGCCCAGAAGGGACCGCAACUCGGGAAGGAGCGAAUACUCCUGCCGAGAGGGAUGCUGAGAACGUGGCAGCCACCCGCAGGCGAACGAAGUGCGUCCCCACCACCCGAGAUUAGUGACACAACAACGAUGAUAAGCACAAAAGUGCUCCCAGUCAGGCAUAUAUGCGGGCAGGAUACUCUUUUUUUUUUUAAAUUUAAUUUUAUUUUUUAUUAGUGAAACACCAUGAAGUACAGUUGUAGACUUGCAAGUUUUUGUGCUUGGGUUUCAGUUAUACAAUGAUGAAGUACCCAUCCCUCCACCAGUGCCCAUUCUCCACCACCAAUGAUCCCAGUAGCCCUCCCAUCCCCCCCACCCCAUCCGGUUGAUAUCAAGGAUCUACAAAGUACUGGUUGAACUCCAUAAGAAAAAAACAUCCAAGCCCAUCAAAAAAUCGGGCCACGAAAUGAACAGAAACUUUCUCAAAGAAGAGAUCCGAAUGGCAAAAAGGCACGUGAGAAAAUGCUCCACGUCACUAAUCAUCAGGGAGCUGCAGAUCAAAACAACAAUGAGAUAUCAUCGCACACCACAGAGACUGGCUCACAUCCAAAAGAACAAAAGCAAACAGUGUUGGCGCGGAUGUGGCAAGAAAGGGAUCCUCCUUCAUGGGCAGGAUACUCUUGGUAGCCUGCCGGGUUCUCUGGGAGCGAGAACUAGACAGAGGUCUCACGGCCGCAGGUGCUUGGAGCGAAUGCCACUCCUUCUGGGAGCUUGGUUUUAUUGUCUCUGGGUCUUGACUGUUGAUGGGGCUACACGGCAGUUGGUGGGUGUGACUGUCUAGCUACUCGAAGAUGGAGGAUCUGGGUGGAGGAGGCCCAUUCCCCAACCAAGCAGGCUUGGAGAUCUCAGACCUGGGUCCUGCACACCCGGGUUUCUCUGCCGGUUCCUUCCUGCGUGAGGUUCGUCCCAGUGUGUGGAGAGUGGUCUCAGCAUGGCUGUGGCUGGGUCCCGGAGCCUGGCAAGCUACCUGUGACAUACUCGAUAUGCCAAAGACAGUAACAAUGAUGGUCCUCAUUCCUCUGACCCUGAAAGAGCCCCCAAUAUGCCAUCGGUCUACACUAGCACAUGACAGGGACGAAUGGAGACAUUAUUGGCGCCCGCUUGAGCAAAUCGAUGAACAAUGGGGUGCUAGUGGUAGUGCUAGUGAUUUUUUUUAAAUGGAUUUUUAAUUUCUACUCUAGGACUUAACUCUUUCACAACUUGUUUUUAACCGGUGACACGCCAUGCCACA
Molecule: long non-coding RNA, 1699 nt
Organism: Sorex fumeus (smoky shrew)
Lineage: Eukaryota; Metazoa; Chordata; Mammalia; Eulipotyphla; Soricidae
Exons: 3
Source: RefSeq, a predicted model, not a curated record